GUUUUUAUUUAAUCAGAUCUUGUGAUGAUCAAGCAAUGUUUAAAAGAUCUGACGCGUGCGUGAGUCAAGAUCCAGCAAUUUAAAAGAUCUGGUGCUGGUUUAAAGAUAUGGUGGUGGAAAACAAAUCCGGUGGUAAACAAAUCAGUUGUGGGGGCUUUUGCAUGUGUGUUUGAGGGCUUCGAAGAUGCGAUGUUUUGGUUCAAGAAAAGUGUGAAUCAGUCACCAAAAGAUCCGAAACAACAACCAAUAUCUAAACCGAACAUCCAGGAUCUGAAAAAAAUUGGUGCGGUUCAGCGACCAAGAUUCGAAAGCGGACAACAACCAUCUAGAUCAAGUAUUCAGGCGGACGAGUAAUUUUAUGUUCACCACACACCCAAUGGCACUAGAAUGUGGUGUCCUAAUGUUCCUACUGGUUUAAGGCCUAUUGUUAGUUGUGUAUACGAAACGUGGAAGGAUGUGUUUAGUAUGUACAAGGAGUAUGCCGUGUAUUGUGUGUUUUCUAUUCGUAAGGGACAAACCAAGAGAUGGAAGAGGUUUGUUACUCACCAGUACAUAAGGUGUACUAAAUAUUCAAGACUAUAGAUUAAGCGUAAAACUGAUACCCUGUAUCAGUCAACCAUGAAUAUAUGUAUAAUAUAUGUAACAUCUUUUUUUGUAGUGUACGUACCAACAUGUAACAUCUUUUUGUAGGAAGACGACUUUUGUAACAAUGUGAUGUAAUAUAACACUUUGUGUCGGAGGAGAAAGAAAAGAAAACACGUUACACUUU
Helianthus annuus (common sunflower) is the source of this 769-nucleotide long non-coding RNA. RefSeq lists it as uncharacterized. The transcript has 3 exons. The record is from RefSeq and is a predicted model, not a curated record. NCBI's taxonomy places the organism in Eukaryota, Viridiplantae, Streptophyta, Magnoliopsida, Asterales, Asteraceae.